GCUGGCGGCGUGCCUAAUACAUGCAAGUCGAGCGGACAGAUGGGAGCUUGCUCCCUGAUGUUAGCGGCGGACGGGUGAGUAACACGUGGGUAACCUGCCUGUAAGACUGGGAUAACUCCGGGAAACCGGGGCUAAUACCGGAUGCUUGAUUGAACCGCAUGGUUCAAUUAUAAAAGGUGGCUUUUAGCUACCACUUACAGAUGGACCCGCGGCGCAUUAGCUAGUUGGUGAGGUAACGGCUCACCAAGGCGACGAUGCGUAGCCGACCUGAGAGGGUGAUCGGCCACACUGGGACUGAGACACGGCCCAGACUCCUACGGGAGGCAGCAGUAGGGAAUCUUCCGCAAUGGACGAAAGUCUGACGGAGCAACGCCGCGUGAGUGAUGAAGGUUUUCGGAUCGUAAAACUCUGUUGUUAGGGAAGAACAAGUACCGUUCGAAUAGGGCGGUACCUUGACGGUACCUAACCAGAAAGCCACGGCUAACUACGUGCCAGCAGCCGCGGUAAUACGUAGGUGGCAAGCGUUGUCCGGAAUUAUUGGGGCGUAAAGCGCGCGCMGGCGGUUUYUUWARUYUGAUGUGAAARCCCCCSGCUCMACCSGGGAGGGUCMUUKGAAACUGGGGAACUUGAGUGCMGAAGAGGRGAGUGGAAUUYCMCSUGUAGCGGUGAAAUGCGUAGAGAUGUGGRGGAACMCCMGUGGSGAAGGSGACUYUYUKGUYUGUAAMUGACGCUGAGGCSCGAAARCGUGGGGAGCGAACMRGAUUAGAUACCCYGGUWGUYCMCSCCSUAAACGAUGAGUG
RNAcentral lists this ribosomal RNA (800 nucleotides) under Bacillus paralicheniformis. RNAcentral's name for it is "partial 16S ribosomal RNA". It matches the Rfam family "Bacterial small subunit ribosomal RNA", at positions 35 to 815 of the family's 1533-position model. Lineage: Bacteria; Bacillati; Bacillota; Bacilli; Caryophanales; Bacillaceae. The record is from RNAcentral.